CCAAAGAGCCCAUACUUUUAAAGAGAAAAUAUGUUCUGGGAAAAUUUGAACAUUUUUAAGAAUUUAGAAAAAUGGACAAAAUCAGAGACUUUUCCACCAAAUGCAUCUUAUUUUGUAUGUGACUGGCACAUCUCAGAUGGAACAUUUCUCCUGUUUGCUCUCUACCCCACAAGUCCAGACUCUGCAGCACUGGGUUAGCUGAUGCUCAUGCAUUUUGACCAUGCUUAUUUUGAUUUAUGUUACUGUUGUCACUUUCAGAUACGUGUUGCCUGCAAGGCAAUUAGACAAAAAUGUCUUACUUGGAGCCAAGCACUACAUUUAUGAUGCUGUAUCUCACACAGCAGAAAAUGAAUGGAAAAGGACUAUACUAAAAGACGUUAUGGUAUCGUAUGCAACACAUAGAGGGAGAACUGCCUCCACUGCAACCAUGUUAAGAAGAGGGCAGCUUCGUUAAACAUCCAAGUAGAUGAACAAAUACAUUUAAAAUGUGUCUCUUGUGUAACAUGAACUUAAGUGAAUGCAAUUUUUUUAAAAUUUUUUAUUUUGCCAAUUACUUGGCACAGUGUCUCUUGUAGGACAUCUUUGAAUCAAAAUGACUUGCGUGCCCAAUAACAGCAGCAAUUUCAGCAGUGGGGAUCUCCAUCAAUAACACUGCAAUGGAUCUCAAAGCUCUCCUACAUCAGCUUGAAAGCUGUGCAAGAUCCGUAGUAUGCACCAAACAUCAGGAAACUUCUGGUAUCCCCUGUGCUGCAGUCCCUUGUGAGCUAUGAGCAUCCCCUGCACUAAAAGUCCUAAAUCCUGUCUUGGAGUGGCUGCCAGUAAGUGUUCUAGGCAGAACAUCAACAAAGCGUAAGUGCAAUGUUCAUUUCACAUCUGUCCUUCAUUAAUCAUUUCCUAAAUACUAAAGGUACCAUAUCAUUGUGAUUUUCCCUUUUUAAUCUGCUGGGGGAGGUGAUGUGAGUGAUCGUGUAUGAUGAUCUGGGAGUGGAAUAUAGAACUGCCAGGUGCAGAACACAGAGAGGGCAGUCCUUUAGAAUCAUAGAAUCACAAGGUUGGAAACGACCUGCAAGAUCAUCUAGUCCAAUCUCUUUCCCAUUCCUA
Phasianus colchicus (ring-necked pheasant) is the source of this 1101-nucleotide non-coding RNA. The record is from RefSeq and is a predicted model, not a curated record. Lineage: Eukaryota; Metazoa; Chordata; Aves; Galliformes; Phasianidae.